RNAcentral lists this unclassified non-coding RNA (485 nucleotides) under Hevea brasiliensis (rubber tree). The record is from RNAcentral. Lineage: Eukaryota; Viridiplantae; Streptophyta; Magnoliopsida; Malpighiales; Euphorbiaceae.
GGAAUUUCAUUUUUUCUAACCUAAAAAGUUUAAUAGAGAUAAGUGAAACUUAAUCCGAUUAUAAUAGUCCAAUUUUCCCUUAUUAUAGUCGAAAUCUACUUCAAAUAUGUUCAAAUUAUAUCUAUUUUUCCUUUCUUUGCAGUGGAUUUGUUCAGCCAAUUCAGAAACGCCAUAUCAGAUUCAAAGUUAACUAUGCUCAAAGCUUCGCGUUUGAUGCUGCCAUAGGAAGAUUGGUUCACCAAACAAGUGUAAAUCAGAAUAUCUUGAAUUUAGAGUUCCUUUUUUUGGUGUGAGCGUGAAUAAUGGGGUCGAGGUGGAAAGGAAAAGGAGCAGAAGUUAAAGCUCUUGCAGAUCCAAUUUCAGAAAUAAUCAGCCAACUCCAGUCUUCUCUGAUCAGCUCUAAUUCUAAAGGACUGCUUUCUGGUACGGGUGUGCUUCUAAAAGCAGAUGCAGAACUAACUGACCUUCUCAAUCGUGCAUGUUUU